This 675-nucleotide ribosomal RNA is filed under the name Puntioplites falcifer. RNAcentral's name for it is "partial 12S ribosomal RNA". It matches the Rfam family "Bacterial small subunit ribosomal RNA", at positions 512 to 1495 of the family's 1533-position model. Lineage: Eukaryota; Metazoa; Chordata; Actinopteri; Cypriniformes; Cyprinidae. The record is from RNAcentral.
CCACCGCGGUUAGACGAGAGGCCCCAGUUGAUAUUACAACGGCGUAAAGGGUGGUUAAGGACAAAAAAAAUAAAGCCAAAUGGCCCUUCGGCCGUCAUACGCUUCUAGGUGUCCGAAGCCCUAAUACGAAAGUAGCUUUAAUAGACUACCUGAACCCACGAAAGCUGAGAAACAAACUGGGAUUAGAUACCCCACUAUGCUCAGCCAUAAACUUAGACAUCCAACUACAAUUAGAUGUCCGCCAGGGUACUACGAGCAUUAGCUUAAAACCCAAAGGACCUGACGGUGUCUCAGACCCCCCUAGAGGAGCCUGUUCUAGAACCGAUAAUCCCCGUUUAACCUCACCACUUCUAGCCACCCCAGCCUAUAUACCGCCGUCGUCAGCUUACCCUGUGAAGGAAAUAAAAGUAAGCAAAAUGGGCACAACCCAAAACGUCAGGUCGAGGUGUAGCGCAUGAAAUGGAAAGAAAUGGGCUACAUUUUCUGACACAGAAUAUUACGAACAUGUACCAUGAAAUAGUACCUGAAGGAGGAUUUAGUAGUAAAAGGGAAGUAGAGUGUCCCUUUGAACCCGGCUCUGAGACGCGUACACACCGCCCGUCACUCUCCCCUGUCAAAACGCACUAAAAAUACUUAAUACAAAAGCACCGACAAGGGGAGGCAAGUCGUAACACG